This 75-nucleotide transfer RNA is filed under the name Amborella trichopoda. It matches the Rfam family "tRNA". Rfam says of the family: Transfer RNA (tRNA) molecules are approximately 80 nucleotides in length. Their secondary structure includes four short double-helical elements and three loops (D, anti-codon, and T loops). The record is from Rfam by way of RNAcentral. Lineage: Eukaryota; Viridiplantae; Streptophyta; Magnoliopsida; Amborellales; Amborellaceae.
GCUGGAAUAGCUCACUUGGCUACAGCGUGUGGCUGUUAACCACAAGGUCGGAGGUUUUAAGUCCUCCUUCUAGCG